RNAcentral lists this long non-coding RNA (3036 nucleotides) under Panax ginseng (ginseng). RNAcentral's name for it is "long non-coding RNA (PGIN_LNC016710)". Lineage: Eukaryota; Viridiplantae; Streptophyta; Magnoliopsida; Apiales; Araliaceae. The record is from RNAcentral.
UGAUUUUCCUCUUACUUAAUGUAAGAAGGAAAAAAAUACAAAAUAUUAUUCAAUAUUGUGUAACACAAUCUCGGUUACCUUACAUCAAUAAAAAGGUGCAGUUGGUAGUCAAACUUUCAUACAAAGAUAACUAUUUUAGUUAUUGUGGGUAACCAAAUAGUCAUAAAAUUAUGAACAGUAAACCAAAUGUUACAUGUAUUUGUUUUCAAAAUUAUGCUUGUGAGACGAUUCUUCUCCUUCUUCUCAUUGACGUUUUGAAUAUGAAACACAUUCAGAAUGGGCGCAUGAGACCUCCCACAGUCCCACUAAACUGGAACACAUUCAAAUUCAAUCACUAGCUUAGGAUACUCGUAUGCCAAAGGCAUACGAGUCAUUAUCAGACUGUUUUUGAGAUUUUUAGAAUAAAAAACAAUGCACAAACGAUAAUCAGAAGUUAAUCCAAACUUCAUUAUUUCAUUAUUGAACACAAAGACUUCGUAGCUCCAGUGGUGGUGCAUACCUAGUUUAAGGAAAUUGCUGUGCAGAGGUCUCAAACUUGUGAAGAAAAACAUUCAGUAUACAACAUUGAAAUCGUCAUCAUACAAAACAAGAGCAUGAAUGAAAAACCAAACGACAGACCACCACCGUAGGAAUUAGGAAACACUUUCCAGUAAUAUCAAUUUUUAUUAAUAUCCAACUAUUGGAAACAAAAGCUUGUCAAGCUUUAAGGGAUGCCCCAACUUUAACAAGUUCUUCGAGAGCCUUUGAGAUGAAGAGAAUGGGCGGAUGAGAGAUGUAUAGUUCUUCUGGAGCUCCGUGGCGGGGGAGAAGGAUGAAGGGGAGGAGAGAGGAGACAAUGAGGGAGAUGAAAAGAAUGGGCGGAUGAGAGAUCUAGGAUUUAAUGUGUUUGGUUAUUGUGUUGCACUUUUUUUGUAAUUAUUUUGUAAAUGUAUUAAUCUUGUAAUUAUUUUUUAAUUGUUGUAUAGUAAUGUAAAGAACCCAUCAUUAAAAUAAUUAACCAACUCAUUUAGUUCUAAUUAAUAUGAGUUGACCAAAUAAUUAACCAACUAUAUUAUCAGAUCUAAUCAUUUUCAUUAUAUUUUCAUAAUGACUACCUUCUGCUUAAUCUCACCUUAUUUGGGUUUGUUUUUCUCAUUCCCCAAGCCCUAUCCAAUAAGUGACUCCUUAUAGGUUCAUUGAAAAGAAACUAAACGACUCUUAAUGGGCCAUAAUACCUUUAGAGACUAAACGACUCUUGAUGAGCCACAUGGUGCUCACAUAUAUUUCUGCAUGGUUCUAACUUCUAACCUUCAUGGAACUUUCUCAAUUAAAAUUUAUAAACUUAUUUUACGAAAAAUAAUUCACUCGUUUCACAAAAUGAGUCCCCAUUUAAUUUCUCAUAUUUUAUUAUCAAAACAAAUUUUAUUUCUUUAAAUAGUAAUAUAAAACGACAUAGUAUAUCCUCAAGUAAGUCAUCAUUUUAUUACUACGAGAGACUCGAAUCAAGUUAAUCAAACUAUCACAAUGUUCGCAAAUGAUAAUCUUUUAAUAGAACCGACAGAAUACUAAUAAGGGUCUUCGAAAUGACGAAGUCUGGCUUUUUGCAGGGUAUACUUUAUACGUAUAUACCAAUAAUUUCUCGAGUUGCAACUAAUCACAUUUAAGAAGUUAUUAAACUUUAAAUUUGCAAGUGAGUUUUAAAGCAUAAGAGUGACUAACAUGAAGAACAAGCAGCUAAACAAAUUUCAGCACAACAACUUCCAAAGCAUUCACACAAGGAGCUUAACCAAGAGCAACCAUCAUCGGCACAACAACAACAUUCGCAGCAGCAAGCAGUGACACAUGCGCCAACCGACUCGCCUAUACAAAUGUUACAACUGCAAAUGUAUAUUUUUUUUAAAGAAAAAACUAAAAGGAAUCUUAGUGAAAAUAAUUAGAUGAAAAAUAAAUACAUAUAUACCAAUAAAUUCUUGAGUUGACGUGUUCAGUUUUUUCCACUGACAUUUGUUGCAUUACUGGCGCCGCCAUUGUUUUGUUCAAAGUGUCAAAUUCGUGAAUUCAGAGCCAGAGCCACUCUAAAAUAUCAAAACUUAAAAGUGAAUAUAGUAAUAAAUAAAUUUACAUAAUUAUAAAGUUAGAUGUUAAUUUUUUGAUAUAUUAUUCUCUAUUCUACAAAAUGGUCUUAUUUGUCAAUGUUUUUGUUUCAAAUCGACACUGGCUGAUCUAUUUAAAGGGCAGAAUAGGCCGUGCUUAUGUUGAACUUUUUUUUAUAUAUGUAUAGGAAUAGGGGCAAAAAUAAAAUUUAAUAAACUUAAGGGACAGAUUUAUGAAAAAGUUAAAUUUAACGGGUAAAAAAAUAUUUUAAACUACUACUAUAAAAAAAACUCAACCCACGGUAUAUAAUUUAUUCAAACUUUUCUCUCUAAUCUUCAACUUUUUACUUCAGUUUUCAGCCCAAAAAAAUCUGCCUCGGCUGGAAACAGAUCCUAGAUCUAGACCUAGACCCUGCAAACAUUAUUCAAAUUUUGAUUUUAAGCGUAAACAUAGAACAAAAAUAUACACUUUAUAUAUAUAAAUUGUAUAAAUGAGAUUGCUUUUGCAAAACGAAAAACUAUUUAUUAAAACUUGAAAGUAUAAUAUAACCUCUAAAAGACGAUGUGAAUCUUAACUGGAGCAAAGAAACAAAGUUGCUCUGUCUCGGUUAGUAGGAAGCCUAAAAAUCACCACUUCUGCUGCCGGAGCGGCGAGAACUCGCAGGAAUCUGACUUGAAACGCCGGAAACUGACUAUAACGCCAGAAUCUUACCCUAAACUCGACCUUUUCUUUUCUUUCCGAUUACCCAAAUCGGAAUUUCAUCCACAUAGUCCUUAUCUUUCAUCUACAAUCCCAUUUUCCCAUCUUUUCUUACUGAACUUUAGCACAUAUGAACUACUUUAUUGGAUUUAAUUGAAUUUCAUUUGGGAGUAGCAGACUCGUGUAGUGAUAAAGAUGAGACCUACUCAUUUAAUAUGGAUAACAAAAGCAUUCAACGUGUAAUAUUUAAUAUUUUGCCAGCAG